RNAcentral lists this transfer RNA (69 nucleotides) under Ictidomys tridecemlineatus (thirteen-lined ground squirrel). RNAcentral's name for it is "Spermophilus tridecemlineatus (thirteen-lined ground squirrel) tRNA". It matches the Rfam family "tRNA". Rfam says of the family: Transfer RNA (tRNA) molecules are approximately 80 nucleotides in length. Lineage: Eukaryota; Metazoa; Chordata; Mammalia; Rodentia; Sciuridae. The record is from Rfam by way of RNAcentral.
GGGGCUGGGGCUCAGUGGUAGAGUGCUUGCCUGGCAUGUGAGAGGUACUGGGUUCGAUCCCCAGUACCA